This 236-nucleotide ribosomal RNA is filed under the name uncultured bacterium. Its description in RNAcentral is "partial 16S ribosomal RNA". It matches the Rfam family "Bacterial small subunit ribosomal RNA", at positions 118 to 353 of the family's 1533-position model. The record is from RNAcentral.
UGAGCAAUCUGCCCUUCUCAUCGGAAUAAGCGUUGGAAACGACGUCUAAUGCCGAAUACGACCUCCUUUCGCAUGAUCGGAGGUGGAAAGCUCCGGCGGAGAAGGAUGAGCUCGCGGCCUAUCGGCUAGUUGGUGUGGGUAAUGGCCCACCAAGGCGACGACGGGUAGCCGGCCUGAGAGGGUGACCGGCCACACUGGGACUGAGACACGGCCCAGGCUCCGUACGGGAGGNAGCG